This 499-nucleotide ribosomal RNA is filed under the name uncultured bacterium. RNAcentral's name for it is "partial 16S ribosomal RNA". It matches the Rfam family "Bacterial small subunit ribosomal RNA", at positions 30 to 522 of the family's 1533-position model. The record is from RNAcentral.
AUUGAACGCUGGCGGCAGGCUUAACACAUGCAAGUCGAGCGGGGGAAGGUAGCUUGCUACUGGACCUAGCGGCGGACGGGUGAGUAAUGCUUAGGAAUCUGCCUAUUAGUGGGGGACAACAUCUCGAAAGGGAUGCUAAUACCGCAUACGUCCUACGGGAGAAAGCAGGGGAUCGUCGGACCUUGCGCUAAUAGAUGAGCCUAAGUCGGAUUAGCUAGUAGGUGGGGUAAAGGCCUACCAAGGCGACGAUCUGUAGCGGGUCUGAGAGGAUGAUCCGCCACACUGGGACUGAGACACGGCCCAGACUCCUACGGGAGGCAGCAGUGGGGAAUAUUGGACAAUGGGGGGAACCCUGAUCCAGCCAUGCCGCGUGUGUGAAGAAGGCCUUAUGGUUGUAAAGCACUUUAAGCGAGGAGGAGGCUACUUUAGUUAGUACCUAGAGAUAGUGACGUUACUCGCAGAAUAAGCACCGGCUAACUCUGUGCCAGCCGCCGCGGUA